Molecule: long non-coding RNA, 2380 nt
Filed under: Cricetulus griseus (Chinese hamster)
Lineage: Eukaryota; Metazoa; Chordata; Mammalia; Rodentia; Cricetidae
Description: lncRNA (ENSCGRG00015035857.1)
Source: RNAcentral
AGCACUGGCUUGUCUGGUCGCCUUCCCCUAAGGAUAAGCAGGUAUCUGGUGAGGAUGAAGGAGGCUGUUUGGUUGCAGGGAAGAAAACAGAAGUGAAGGAUGGUUGUUGAGAUACAUAUCCUAUAUAUGGAUCCUUGGGCCUGGGUGGGAGUGGAAAGGGCAACUCAAAAGUCAUAAGGGACGUGUCCUGGUACCUGAAAGAGUUCAAGUGACUGUGCCUGAGAACCUAUCUCAGCAUCACUAGAUCAAUGGCCGCCAGCUACUUAGAGACCUCAGUAUCCCCAUGGCCUUUGAGGGAAAUAUGUGAAGAGGCACAGAAAGCUCUUGUCUCAGACUAGCCUGGGUGGAGUCCUGCUCCACUACAUACUGCCAUAGGCCCUCUGGAAGGUCACAGCCUUCCUGAGCCUCAGAUCUUCCUCCAACAUUAAAGUACAAUGUCAGAAGCACCGGCUGCCCACCUGCCUGCUAAAGAAACUGAGGAGUCACAAAAGGGACGGGAAAGCAGGGCCUCAAACAGUGUAGGGCUUAGAGCAUCUCUGUAUCAUCAGAAGCCACUGUGAGCAUCACGAAGUGUAAGCACCUCUCAGCUGGGGCUGCAACAGAGAGGAUGGACUUUGCCUGAUCCAGAGUGGUACCCUGACUUGAGGUCCUGGCUGUUGCUCUUUUGAUGCUCACCACCUCCUAGAGUUCAAAGUCCCUUUUCCAUUCCCGAGGAGCAGGCCUUUCUCUUAGGAUUAACAACACAACUGCCCAUGUCUACAGCUGCACUACCCCUAAUUCACCUGAUCUAGAAUUAACAGUAGAGGCUCAGGACUCUACUUACUGAACAAUUGCUGAGGCCAGACACGGGUGCUGAAGAGCAUGACUGUAACCACGUGGUGCUGGGGAACCCUGAAAAUCCCCAUACACUCACCCUCUCCCCCAAAUGCCAGGAGCCCAUGUGGCCUAUGGUAUUGUAGAUUGCCUAGGAUGUAGCUGACAGCUCACACCACCGCUACUCUCUGGAGCUUUUAGCUCACAAGCCUGGGUCCUAGUAGCCCUAACAAGCCUCUCGUCAAUUGGCUAUUUAAAGAAACACGUGAUCAUGAAAGGCAGAAAAUAAGAUUCACUUCUUGUGGCCACACUGUGGGGGAAGAACAGAGGUUCAAUGACCCCUGAAAGCCCAUCUUCAGGCACCUUCGUGAGAUUUAGGUUUAAGCACUUAUAACUAAGCAGUCCAGUCCCUAUCAAGGUGGGUGGUCAUAGUCUGGGCUCCGGUCUCCCAAAAGGUGGUCUGAUCAACUGUUCAAACUGAAAUCUCUUCCGAGGAGGUAAUGUCCUUCCUCUGGCUGGCACUGGGGUCCCAGCCUUUUGCUUCACCCAGCACGAGUGUCUAGAAUAUCUACACUGCUGCCAGGAUAGCCACACUGCCAGCUGUUUUCUAAUUAGAAGCGCAUAUAAAGCCCCAGAGUCCCAAGAAAUCCAAGAGCAGAAGUGUUCCUGGAGUCAGAAACUUCAAUCUACCUUUCUCUACUCUCUUCUGCCUCCCUGACUCCAUCUGCUAUGGGCAAUAUCAACACCACCACCCUUGGCCUCAGCCAGUGAGGGGUCAGAAGGGCUUGGUGGGCAAAAGAAAGCCGUAAUAGCAACUAGGUAUGGAUACCCUGUGCCCCACAGCUCUAUGACAGCAGCCUCAGGGAUACACUGUCCUGUCUCAGAAGCUACACUCUCCUCUGUUUUUAUGGUCUUAAGGUGGGUGGCUUUUGCUGUGGCCAGAUGAAAGGGGGGUCACCGCCCUUGCUUGGCUUAUCUAUACCAAACCUUGGUCAGGAGUCCCUAGGCAACACUCCUGCACCAUCUCCAUCUCGGGCUAUAACUGAGAUGCACAGACCAAGGCCCCCAGAAGGCAAGCACUGAAUGGUCUUGGGCUGUGUCCCACAAUGCACUCCCUUCUGUGAGGGCUUGACUCUAUCCUGGUCCAAGAUGGGUACCAGAAAAUGAGAACAUCCCAGAGCAUCCAGAAGGAAGGCUGAGUCUACCAGACCUCAGACCCGAGCAUAAGUGCCCCCACUGGAAAGCCCCUAUGGUGGCUCUACUUCCCACUAGGAAACAAUGCCUGUCCCCUCCUCCCACUGAACCUACCUCCAGCACCAACCGACCGGCAGUGAUGCCCUACCUGCCAUAUUGUUGCCAGCAGUAAUGCCCCUGGAUGCUGGCCCAUUGGGGUGGCAGGACUUUCCCAGGGUCCAGGGCUCAGCUGGGGUCCCCGUCUUCCCAGCAGUAGCAGCUUAAUGGAGAGAUGGGGGCUUUCCUGGCCUUAAGUCCCCAGGAGGAUUGUGUGGUUGGGUCCCUGCAGGCCUAGGGGUCCUAGGGUCUGUAUAGGAAAUGGGCUAGGGAUCCU